UUAGAUCUUUUGUUAUUGUAUUCAACAAAGAAGACCGCUAAAAUUCAAAAUUGUGUGUUCAGACCAAAGUAUUAGAAUUGAUUAAAAGCAUAAUUUUAAAUUGAAGCAAUAAUGUUUAAGUGCACAAUCUGCGAUAAAAUGUACGAUUCAAAACAACAAUGGAACAGGCAUAAUAAACUCACUCAUAAAUUGUCAGUCAAGUUUUGUUAUGACUGUAAGCAAUGUGAGAAUACAUUUCAAUUUAAAAGAGCUCUUCAAAAACACCUAAUAACAAGUCAUAGUGAAAAGAAACUGCAAUCUAAGCAGUGUGGAAAACUUUACAAAUCAUUGAAGACCCUAAAAGCGCACAUGAAGAUAAAGAAACAUAAUUGGAUUAAAACAAGAAAGUCAAGACUAAUCUGUCCUUUUAAUGAUAAUUUGAAUUUUUAGACGUGUCAGCGAUUGAGGAAACAUUUGGUAGAAAGUCAUUCGGUGCAAAUAACACCUGAACAUUACACAUUUAAUACGGAUGCAGAGUUUGAUUAUUGGAAACAUACCAUUGAAGACAAAAUGAAAGUCAAUUAUGUUAAAGACAGUAGGUGUAGAACGCUAAAAUCUGGCGCCGUACGAUCUAUUUACAUAUGCCACAGAUCUUAUGCCCCAAGAG
This is a long non-coding RNA of Dendroctonus ponderosae (mountain pine beetle), 646 nucleotides long. RefSeq lists it as uncharacterized. Lineage: Eukaryota; Metazoa; Arthropoda; Insecta; Coleoptera; Curculionidae. The record is from RefSeq and is a predicted model, not a curated record. The transcript is spliced from 3 exons.